This 497-nucleotide ribosomal RNA is filed under the name uncultured bacterium. Its description in RNAcentral is "partial 16S ribosomal RNA". It matches the Rfam family "Bacterial small subunit ribosomal RNA", at positions 28 to 507 of the family's 1533-position model. The record is from RNAcentral.
GACGAACGCUGGCGGCGUGCCUAAUACAUGCAAGUAGAACGCUGAAGAGAGGAGCUUGCUCUUCUUGGAUGAGUUGCGAACGGGUGAGUAACGCGUAGGUAACCCGCCUUGUAGCGGGGGAUAACUAUUGGAAACGAUAGCUAAUACCGCAUAACAAUGGAUGACACAUGUCAUUUAUUUGAAAGGGGCAAUUGCUCCACUACAAGAUGGACCUGCGUUGUAUUAGCUAGUAGGUGAGGUAAUGGCUCACCUAGGCGUCGAUACAUAGCCGACCUGAGAGGGUGAUCGGCCACACUGGGACUGAGACACGGCCCAGACUCCUACGGGAGGCAGCAGUAGGGAAUCUUCGGCAAUAGGGGCAACCCUGACCGAGCAACGCCGCGUGAGUGAAGAAGGUUUUCGGAUCGUAAAGCUCUGUUGUAAGUCAAGAACGGGUGUGAGAGUGGAAAGUUCACACUGUGACGGUAGCUUACCAGAAAGGGACGGCUAACUACGUG